AUUGGGACAUAUAUCAACUUGGGCCAAAUGGAGCUGGAAAGUGAGUGUAUUAAUGCCUAUGUCCAUCAUGGUGCGUGACCAUAAUUGCCACAACACAGAAGAAGCAGCUUUCAUAGACUCCUAUGCAAUGACUGCAAUAUGGGAAGGAAAAUCCCGAAGACUGGAG
Long non-coding RNA from Thalassophryne amazonica, 166 nucleotides. RefSeq lists it as uncharacterized. The record is from RefSeq and is a predicted model, not a curated record. Lineage: Eukaryota; Metazoa; Chordata; Actinopteri; Batrachoidiformes; Batrachoididae. The transcript is spliced from 2 exons.